This 314-nucleotide long non-coding RNA is filed under the name Homo sapiens (human). RNAcentral describes it as "HSALNT0051161". Lineage: Eukaryota; Metazoa; Chordata; Mammalia; Primates; Hominidae. The record is from RNAcentral.
CAGAAACCUGGUGGCUCCUGGACCCUGCUCCUCAGCCCAUACUUGACACCAGGCUCAUGUGGCAAUGGCUCCAGUCACAAAGCUAUUGUUUUGUAGUGUAAGUGUGAUGUCCACUCCGGGAUCUUUAUUCAUCUACUGUAAGUCAUUGUGUGGAAUAACCCAGGCAUGCUUUGUCUGUAUUGAUGUACCCAUCAUUACACGGGUGGUGUGUGCAGCUCGGGCCAGCUCGUUGAUCCUCCGUGCCCCCAGCCAGCUGUGGGCUUGGGCUCUUCUCAGCUAGGCCUUUGCUUUUGUCCACUCUCCCUCCUCCCCAG